This 497-nucleotide ribosomal RNA is filed under the name uncultured bacterium. Its description in RNAcentral is "partial 16S ribosomal RNA". It matches the Rfam family "Bacterial small subunit ribosomal RNA", at positions 28 to 507 of the family's 1533-position model. The record is from RNAcentral.
GAUGAACGCUGGCGGCGUGCCUAAUACAUGCAAGUCGAGCGAACGGACGAGAAGCUUGCGUCUCGGAUGUUAGCGGCGGACGGGUGAGUAACACGUGGAUAACCUACCUAUAAGACUGGGAUAACUUCGGAAAACCGGAGCUAAUAGCGGAUGAUAUUUUGAACCGCAUUGUUCAUAAGUGAAAGACGGUCGUGCUGUCACUUAUAGAUGGAUCCGCGCUGCAUUAGCUAGUUGGUAAGGUAACGGGUUACCAAGGCAACGAUGCAUAGCCGACCUGAGAGGGUGAUCGCCGACCCUGGAACUUAGCCACGGUCCAGACUCCUACGGGAGGCAGCAGUCGGGAAUCUUCCGCAAUGGGCGAAAGCCUGACGGAGCAACGCCGCGUGAGUGAUGAAGGUCUUCCGAUCGUAAAACUCUGUUAUUAGGGAAGAACAUAUGUGUAAGUAACUGUGCACAUCUUGACGGUACCUAAUCAGAAAGCCACGGCUAACUACGUG